GGGGUUGUGACUCAGUGGUAGAGCACCUGCCUUGCAUGCAUGAGGCCCUGGGUUUGAACCUCAGCACCA
This 69-nucleotide transfer RNA is filed under the name Ictidomys tridecemlineatus (thirteen-lined ground squirrel). RNAcentral's name for it is "Spermophilus tridecemlineatus (thirteen-lined ground squirrel) tRNA". It matches the Rfam family "tRNA". From Rfam's summary of the family: Transfer RNA (tRNA) molecules are approximately 80 nucleotides in length. Their secondary structure includes four short double-helical elements and three loops (D, anti-codon, and T loops). Further hydrogen bonds mediate the characteristic L-shaped molecular structure. tRNAs have two regions of fundamental functional importance: the anti-codon, which is responsible for specific mRNA codon recognition, and the 3' end, to which the tRNAs corresponding amino acid is attached (by aminoacyl-tRNA synthetases). tRNAs cope with the degeneracy of the genetic code in two manners: having more than one tRNA (with a specific anti-codon) for a particular amino acid; and 'wobble' base-pairing, i.e. permitting non-standard base-pairing at the 3rd anti-codon position. Lineage: Eukaryota; Metazoa; Chordata; Mammalia; Rodentia; Sciuridae. The record is from Rfam by way of RNAcentral.